This 220-nucleotide long non-coding RNA is filed under the name Eucalyptus grandis. RNAcentral describes it as "long non-coding RNA (EGRA_LNC005868)". Lineage: Eukaryota; Viridiplantae; Streptophyta; Magnoliopsida; Myrtales; Myrtaceae. The record is from RNAcentral.
UUAAAUAAAAAUAGAGUAUUGACUUGACAAUACUAGUAAUAAACAAUAAUUGAUGUUGUGAUGCUUGGAUUUUGACUCAAUCGCCAUUGACUAGUAAAAGAAAGUAAAGUGGACUCUCUUUAUAAAGAAAAGGAGCACGCAUUCAAAAAAGAGAAAUAAAGAAGAAAAGAGCAAAAGAGAGAUAUGAAGGUGGGGAAAAAAGGAAAAAAGAGAAAGGGAA